CCCUUAGAUGUUCUGGGCCGCACGCGUGCUGCACUGAGUGGAUCAGCGGGUCAGGUUGCGCGAAAGCGUUUCCUAAUCUUUAAAUCCGCUCGUGAUGGGGAUUGACGGUUGCAAUUUUCUGUCAUGAACGAGGAAUACCUUGUAAGCGCGGGUCAUCAUCCCGCGCUGAAUACGUCCCUGCCCUUUGUACACACCGCCCGUCGCUCCUACCGAUUGAGUGGUCCGGUGAGGCUUUGGGAUCUGAGCGGAAAGAGCGUUUCGCUGUUUCUGCUCGGAAAACUCAGUCGAACCUUAUCAUUUAGAGGAAGGAGAAGUCGUAACAA
Molecule: ribosomal RNA, 323 nt
Filed under: uncultured eukaryote
Lineage: Eukaryota
Description: partial 18S ribosomal RNA
Rfam family: Eukaryotic small subunit ribosomal RNA
Source: RNAcentral